CCUACGGGCGGCUGCAGUGGGGAAUAUUGGACAAUGGGGGCAACCCUGAUCCAGCCAUGCCGCGUGUGUGAAGAAGGCCCUCGGGUUGUAAAGCACUUUCAAUGAGGAAGAACGCCUGGUGGUUAAUACCCAUCAGGAAAGACAUCACUCACAGAAGAAGCACCGGCUAACUCCGUGCCAGCAGCCGCGGUAAUACGGAGGGUGCGAGCGUUAAUCGGAAUUACUGGGCGUAAAGCGCGCGUAGGUGGCUUGAUAAGCCGGUUGUGAAAGCCCCGGGCUCAACCUGGGAACGGCAUCCGGAACUGUCAAGCUAGAGUGCAGGAGAGGAAGGUAGAAUUCCCGGUGUAGCGGUGAAAUGCGUAGAGAUCGGGAGGAAUACCAGUGGCGAAGGCGGCCUUCUGGACUGACACUGACACUGAGGUGCGAAAGCGUGGGUAGCAAACAGGAUUAGAUACCCUGGUAGUC
RNAcentral lists this ribosomal RNA (465 nucleotides) under Vreelandella stevensii. Its description in RNAcentral is "partial 16S ribosomal RNA". It matches the Rfam family "Bacterial small subunit ribosomal RNA", at positions 338 to 795 of the family's 1533-position model. Lineage: Bacteria; Pseudomonadati; Pseudomonadota; Gammaproteobacteria; Oceanospirillales; Halomonadaceae. The record is from RNAcentral.